This 510-nucleotide ribosomal RNA is filed under the name uncultured bacterium. Its description in RNAcentral is "bacterial SSU rRNA". It matches the Rfam family "Bacterial small subunit ribosomal RNA", at positions 28 to 527 of the family's 1533-position model. The record is from RNAcentral.
GACGAACGCUGGCGGCGUGGAUUAGGCAUGCAAGUCGAACGGUAUCAUCCUUUCGGGGGUGAGAGAGUGGCGAACUGGUGAGUAACACGUAGGUUAUCUACCCUCAAGACGGGGACAACCCAGGGGAAACUUGGGCUAAUACCGGAUGUGAGCAACUUUUAGUUGUUUGAAAGGUGGCGUAAGCUGUCGCUUGGGGAUGAGCCUGCGUCCUAUUAGUUAGUUGGUGAGGUAACGGCUCACCUAGGCAAUGAUAGGUAGGCGGCCUUAACGGGUGGUCGCCCACACUGGGAUUGAGAUACGGCCCAGACUCCUACGGGAGGCAGCAGUCGAGAAUAGUCUACAAUGGUCGGAAGACUGAUAGUGCGACGCCGCGUGAACGAUGAAUCCCUUCGGGGUGUAAAGUUCUUUUAUAUGUGAGCAGUGCUUCUUAUAUUAACAGUAGUGGGGAGAGAGAUAUUAGCAUAUGAAUAAGCAACGGCUAACUCCGUGCCAGCAGCCGCGGUAAACUCG